AUACGGAGGGGACUAGCGUUGUUCGGAAUUACUGGGCGUAAAGCGUACGUAGGCGGAUCAGAAAGUAUGGGGCGAAAUCCCAGGGCUCAACCCUGGAACUGCCUCAUAAACUCCUGGUCUUGAGUUCGAGAGAGGUGAGUGGAAUUCCGAGUGUAGAGGUGAAAUUCGUAGAUAUUCGGAGGAACACCAGUGGCGAAGGCGGCUCACUGGCUCGAUACUGACGCUGAGGUACGAAAGUGUGGGGAGCAAACAGGAUUAGAAACCCUAGUAGUCC
RNAcentral lists this ribosomal RNA (274 nucleotides) under uncultured bacterium. RNAcentral describes it as "partial 16S ribosomal RNA". It matches the Rfam family "Bacterial small subunit ribosomal RNA", at positions 523 to 796 of the family's 1533-position model. The record is from RNAcentral.